RNAcentral lists this long non-coding RNA (1246 nucleotides) under Piliocolobus tephrosceles (Ugandan red Colobus). RNAcentral's name for it is "lncRNA (ENSPTEG00000013615.1)". The record is from RNAcentral. Lineage: Eukaryota; Metazoa; Chordata; Mammalia; Primates; Cercopithecidae.
AAAAAAAAAAAAAAAAAAAAAAAAAAAAGAAUUAGACAGAUCAAUAGAUAGCUAAGCGUCUGUUUUUUUUAUUAAUCUGAUCUUUUUUUUUUUUUUUUUUUAUUAUUCGUUUCUAAAAUCGUUAUUAUCAUGUACAUAUGACAUAUACAUGCAUGUGUGCAUACUUAUGCUAAGUGUUUUUUUUUUUUAAAUAAAUUUAGAAUACAUUUCGGAUAAAUUGGAUGCAUGUAUGUAUAUACAUAUGUAUAUACUGCAUAAUUUCAUUUUAUUUAGUACUUGUUCUUUUUUAUCAUAUAUACUUAUAGUGUCAAAAAAAAGAAAAAAAGAAAAAAAAAAACAUGUUCCAUACAAUUCAUUCUAUUACUAAUGAAGAAAAGAGUUUCGGAAUAAAUUUAAACGAAUUAAAAACAAUAGCUAAAAAAUAUAACUGGAUAGAAGACAAUAGUGAUAAGAUAAAUAAUUAUAUUUUUUCAAAAGAAAAUGUGAAAAUAAAAAUUUUAGGUUUACAAGGAUUAGUAACAAUAGAAAUUCAAUUAUCAUGUGAUGUGAAUUAUAAAAUGUGUAAAAGUAAUUUAAAAAAUUAUGAAAUAUGUGAACUAUUUAAAAAUACAAAUUAUAACUAUGAUAAUUAUAUUACAAAUGAAAGUGUUUUAAGUAAUAAUUUGAACCUAUCAGUAAAAGAAAAAAUAAAUCUUUUUAAUAAAAAAGACGCAUCGUUAUAUACAGAAAAAAAAGCAUACAAAGAUGUUUAUAAAAAGGAGAAUCUUAUUAAACAACAUAAUUAUAUUGCUAUAGAUAGCUAUAAUAACAAUAAUAUUACCAACGGUGAAAAAAGUAAUUACAAUAGUAACAAUCGUAAUGCGAAAUGCGACAAUAAUUGUGAAAACAGUUUUGAAAACAGUUGUGAUAGCAAUAACAAUUUGUUUAUAUCGCCUAAAAUUAAAAAAAAUAUUAAAAAGAAAGAAGGAACUAAAAUAAACAGUUAUGAAAAUCAUAAUGUAGAUUUUGAAAAAGAGAAAAAAAAAAAUACAUGCACAAUUUAUAUUAAUAAGAAUACACAAAAAGAUGUGAGUUUAAAAAAAAAACAAACAGUACAUGAUUUUUUAUCUAAAAACAAACAUAAAAAUAAAUAUAUAAAAAAUUCAAAUUUAACAUCAGAUGAUAUAAACACAAAAGAUAUAGUACUGAGUGAUGUAAUUAAUAAAAGCAAAAAUGCAAAUUAUUUAUUUUGCAUAAAAGAAACAAA